Molecule: long non-coding RNA, 409 nt
Filed under: Gossypium raimondii (Peruvian cotton)
Lineage: Eukaryota; Viridiplantae; Streptophyta; Magnoliopsida; Malvales; Malvaceae
Description: long non-coding RNA (GRAI_LNC000933)
Source: RNAcentral
AGCUUCAAGAUUUGUUUGGUGUUGAGUCUUUGCAUGUAAGCCAUUUCUUGCCCAUUUUUUUUUAUGUUUUUGAUGUUUUUGCGAUCAUUGCCUUGAUAUCUAACUAGUUUAGGGAUUAAUUUGAGAAAUUUUUGAAUAUUAGAAAGUCUACCAUUAAUGUUUUUUGAAAGCUUUUUACUUGAAAGAGUAUGUGUUGGGUGUUUGACGUGGAUUUUGAGUUAUUUUAUUAAGUAAAUUUUUAUACAUUUUGAAAAUGGGGAUUGAAUUGAUUAAAAUUUUAAAUGAGAGGGAUUUCAUGAGAAAUUUUAUAAUUUAUGAAUUGUAUAUGUAGGGUUAAAUAUUCGACAGUAUUGGGUUUAUGUAUUAAUUAUGGGAAUUGGCUUGUUUAGUAUUAUGGACUAAAUUGUGU